Picea glauca (white spruce) is the source of this 113-nucleotide non-coding RNA. The record is from Rfam. Lineage: Eukaryota; Viridiplantae; Streptophyta; Pinopsida; Pinales; Pinaceae.
GCUAUCUUUACGAAUGUUGAAAGCAUCUGAUGAAAUUGGAACGAUACAGAGAAUAUUAGCAUGGCCCCUAUGCAAGGAUGACACACACAAAUCGAUAAAUGGUCCAAAUUUUG